This 73-nucleotide transfer RNA is filed under the name Ovis aries (sheep). It matches the Rfam family "tRNA". Rfam says of the family: Transfer RNA (tRNA) molecules are approximately 80 nucleotides in length. Their secondary structure includes four short double-helical elements and three loops (D, anti-codon, and T loops). The record is from Rfam by way of RNAcentral. Lineage: Eukaryota; Metazoa; Chordata; Mammalia; Artiodactyla; Bovidae.
UUUCUGGUGGUCUAGUGGCUAAGACUCUGCACUCCCAAUGCGAGGGGCCCAGGUUCAAUCCCUGUUCGGGGAA